UCGAAAACAUGAUGGAUGAAUACGAGAAGCUUCUAGAAAGAUCUUCGGAUGGUUCGGCUAAAAUGAGGAUACUUUUGUUUUCGCCUUCCGAGCUCGAAAAUGCUAGUUUUGAAGAUUUGGAGGAUGGUGGGAAUAGGUAUGUUGAAGCUGUGAACGGGAUUAUGGAUGGUUUUAACCGUCUUGCAAGAAAGGAGAGUAUUGAGAGUGGUAAUUCUGCAAGGAGUUCCGAUUUAAGUGGUACAGAAGGUGCUGAUAGCUUAGGCCAAGUUAGUGGUGGUUUUUCGCCCAAG
Molecule: long non-coding RNA, 290 nt
Filed under: Erythranthe guttata (spotted monkey flower)
Lineage: Eukaryota; Viridiplantae; Streptophyta; Magnoliopsida; Lamiales; Phrymaceae
Description: long non-coding RNA (EGUT_LNC003166)
Source: RNAcentral